AUGAACAGGUCUUUGCUUUCUGUGUACUCUUUCUGUGUGCCAUCACUGACAUCAUCAGUUGCUCAAUCAGGACCUUUGACUCUACAGUGUGUGUAAUGUGCACUCGCUGUCUGCACCAUGAGGCCCCCCGUAGAGGCAUCACUGACCCUGUGCACAGGGCCUCGGUCUCGUCCUCAUCCCUGACGUGCUUUCACACCACUAACUUGGCAAAGGCUGGAGCCGAAGACUGAAUACAAAAGGCAAAAGUGAGACCAGCGUUCAUCUUUUUCCUCCUGGACUCCAGACGUGAUCUAACCAGUGGCUUCACACCCCCACCAGGCCUUCCUUCUCAUGGUGAUGUGUCCUUCAACUGCCACCUGCUCAAAGGCGAGACCGCAUUCCGCAUCCCAAACAGGACGUUGAUUUUGCUGUGUGCCAACGGCAGGGAAGGAGCCUGCGCUGACUCCAGGGUCCCCGCGCAGAGACAGAGGGCUGCGUGCUGCUGUGAGGCAUCAUUGAUCACUCACAUCAAUGGUCACUUGUUCUACUGCCGGAGAACAGUCCGCCCUUCUCAGAACAGAA
Molecule: long non-coding RNA, 561 nt
Organism: Meriones unguiculatus (Mongolian gerbil)
Lineage: Eukaryota; Metazoa; Chordata; Mammalia; Rodentia; Muridae
Exons: 3
Source: RefSeq, a predicted model, not a curated record